RNAcentral lists this transfer RNA (82 nucleotides) under Streptomyces sp. SID2999. RNAcentral's name for it is "tRNA-Arg". The stretch from base 21 to 82 matches the Rfam family "tRNA". Rfam says of the family: Transfer RNA (tRNA) molecules are approximately 80 nucleotides in length. Their secondary structure includes four short double-helical elements and three loops (D, anti-codon, and T loops). Further hydrogen bonds mediate the characteristic L-shaped molecular structure. tRNAs have two regions of fundamental functional importance: the anti-codon, which is responsible for specific mRNA codon recognition, and the 3' end, to which the tRNAs corresponding amino acid is attached (by aminoacyl-tRNA synthetases). tRNAs cope with the degeneracy of the genetic code in two manners: having more than one tRNA (with a specific anti-codon) for a particular amino acid; and 'wobble' base-pairing, i.e. permitting non-standard base-pairing at the 3rd anti-codon position. Lineage: Bacteria; Bacillati; Actinomycetota; Actinomycetes; Kitasatosporales; Streptomycetaceae. The record is from RNAcentral.
GCCAGGUCAAGGCCAACUCGGCAGCCGACGCACCAAGCGCCUUCUAAGCGCUUGGCCGCAGGUUCGAGUCCUGCCGGGGGCG